GACGAACGCUGGCGGCGUGCCUAAUACAUGCCAGUUGAGCGCUGAAGGUUGGUACUUGUUCCGACUGGGUGAGCAGCGAACGGGUGAGUAACGCGUGGGGAACCUGCCUUUGAGCGGGGGACAACUUCUGGAAACGAAUGCUAAUACCGCAUAAAAACUUUAAACACAAGUUUUAAGUUUGAAAGAUGCAAUUGCAUCACUCAAAGAUUAUCCCGCGUUGGAUUAGCUAGUUUGUGAGGUAAAGGCCCACCAAAGCGAAGAUACAUAGCCGACCUGAGAGGGGGGACGGCCACAUUGGGACUGGGAAAACGCCCAAAAUCCCAAGGGAGGGAGCAGGAGGGAAACUUUGGCAAGUGACGGAAGGCUGGACGAGGAACGCCGGGGGGGGGGAGAAGGGUCUCGGAUCGGAAAAAUCGGUUGGUAGGGAAGAACGAAGGGGGGAGGGGAAAGCGCAUGAAGUGACGGUAACUACUCAGAAAGGGACGGCUAACUACGUG
RNAcentral lists this ribosomal RNA (497 nucleotides) under uncultured bacterium. RNAcentral describes it as "partial 16S ribosomal RNA". It matches the Rfam family "Bacterial small subunit ribosomal RNA", at positions 28 to 507 of the family's 1533-position model. The record is from RNAcentral.